UAUGCAGUUUUGUUAGGUGAGGGUAUACUCCGGGUGCACAGUAGGUAAGCACUUUAAGUACACUCAAGAUAUUACAUGGCUUAAACAACUAGUGGUAGAGCAGAGCUAAGCUACGUUGUAGUCAUAGUAACUCGUUUCAUUCACAGUGAAAAUAGCAGAGCAAAAAAUGGUUUGCUUCCAUCAUUUAUUCAAUCUUUGGGAAAUGGUUGUGCUGCUAAAUAACCUAUCUAAACAUUGAGAAACCAACAAUUCUACAUAAAGAAAAUGAUCCAAAAUUACAUGUUUGGGUUAUUGUUUUCUGUAGUGUGGAGUUCGAUAAAUGGAGCAAACGAUAAGAUUAUUGCCAUUCAAGAAAAAAAGUCACCAGCAUAUCUUGCUUCUUCUUUUUAUCAAGCAGCACAAGAGACAAAAAAAGAAACAAAGUAAACAAAAACAUGGGAUAUGACCGAUGAAGUGCACAGUGAGUGACGAGUACGAAAUGUAACCGCAUGCAUGA
RNAcentral lists this long non-coding RNA (496 nucleotides) under Brachypodium distachyon (stiff brome). RNAcentral's name for it is "long non-coding RNA (BDIS_LNC004099)". The record is from RNAcentral. Lineage: Eukaryota; Viridiplantae; Streptophyta; Magnoliopsida; Poales; Poaceae.